Molecule: ribosomal RNA, 915 nt
Filed under: uncultured archaeon
Lineage: Archaea
Description: bacterial SSU rRNA
Rfam family: Archaeal small subunit ribosomal RNA
Source: RNAcentral
UUCCGGUUGAUCCCGCCGCCGGCCACUGCUAUCAGGUUUCGGCUAAGCCAUGCGAGUCUAGGGAUCGCAAGAUACCGGCAUACUGCUCAGUAACACGCGGAUAAUCUGCCCCCAGGUGAAGAAUACCCUCGGGAAACUGAGGCUAAUACUUCAUAAUCACUAUAUGCUGGAAUGCUUUGGUGAUGAAAGAAUUUCGCCUGAGGAUGAGUCUGCGGCCUAUCAGGUCGUAUGUGGUGUAAUGGACCACAUAGCCUAAGACGGGUACGGGCCUUGAAAGAGGGAGCCCGGAGAUGGACUCUGAGACAUUAGUCCAGGCCCUACGGGGCGCAGCAGGCGCGAAAACUGUGCAAUGCGCGAAAGCGCGACACGGGAAGCCUGAGUGCCUUAACACAGUUAAGGCUUUUCUCAAGCCUAAAAAGCUUGAGGAAUAAGAGCUGGGUAAGACGGGUGCCAGCCGCCGCGGUAACACCCGCAGCUCGAGUGGUGGUCACUUUUAUUGAGCCUAAAGCGUUUGUAGCCGGAUCCGUAAAUCUCCAGGAAAAUUCCUUCGCUCAACGAAGGAUCUUCUGGAGAGACUGCGGAUCUAGGGACCGGGUGAGGUUGAAUGUACUUCUGGGGUAGGGGUAAAAUCCUGUAAUCCUGGAAGGACGACCGGUGGCGAAGGCGUUCAACUAGAACGGAUCCGACGGUGAGGAACGAGGGCUAGGGGAGCAAACCGGAUUAGAUACCCGGGUAGUCCUAGCUGUAAACACUGCCCACUUGAUGUUGCAUCUCCGUGUAGGGGGUGCAGUGUCGUAGCGAAGGUGUUAAGUGGGCCGCUUGGGGAGUAUGGUCGCAAGGCUGAAACUUAAAGGAAUUGGCGGGGGAGCACCACAACGGGAGGAGCGUGCGGUUUAAUUGGAUUCAACGCCGGAA